GAUGAACGCUGGCGGCGUGCCUAAUACAUGCAAGUCGAGCGAACAGAUAAGGAGCUUGCUCCUUUGACGUUAGCGGCGGACGGGUGAGUAACACGUGGGUAACCUACCUAUAAGACUGGGAUAACUUCGGGAAACCGGAGCUAAUACCGGAUAAUAUUUCGAACCGCAUGGUUCGAUAGUGAAAGAUGGUUUUGCUAUCACUUAUAGAUGGACCCGCGCCGUAUUAGCUAGUUGGUAAGGUAACGGGUUACCAACGCGACGAUAGGUAGCCGACCUGAGAGGGAGGAUGGCCACACGGGAAGUGAGGAAGGGUCCACACUCCGGGGGGGAGCCGCAGUAGGGAAUCUUCCGCAAUGGGCGAAAGCCGGACGGAGGAACGCCGCGUGAGUGAUGAAGGUCUUCGGAUCGUAAAACUCUGUUAUUAGGGAAGAACAUACGUGUAAGUAACUGUGCACGUCUUGACGGUACCUAAUCAGAAAGCCACGGCUAACUACGUG
This 497-nucleotide ribosomal RNA is filed under the name uncultured bacterium. RNAcentral describes it as "partial 16S ribosomal RNA". It matches the Rfam family "Bacterial small subunit ribosomal RNA", at positions 28 to 507 of the family's 1533-position model. The record is from RNAcentral.